Molecule: small nucleolar RNA, 70 nt
Organism: Cynara cardunculus var. scolymus (artichoke)
Lineage: Eukaryota; Viridiplantae; Streptophyta; Magnoliopsida; Asterales; Asteraceae
Product: small nucleolar RNA snoR64a
Exons: 1
Source: RefSeq, a predicted model, not a curated record
UUAUUAUCGAGUUGAAUGCUCGCUUUGUGUGGGUAUUUUGAUUCUAACUCUGAAUAGGAAGAUCUGAUGC